RNAcentral lists this transfer RNA (76 nucleotides) under Psychromonas arctica. Its description in RNAcentral is "tRNA-His". It matches the Rfam family "tRNA". Rfam says of the family: Transfer RNA (tRNA) molecules are approximately 80 nucleotides in length. Their secondary structure includes four short double-helical elements and three loops (D, anti-codon, and T loops). Lineage: Bacteria; Pseudomonadati; Pseudomonadota; Gammaproteobacteria; Alteromonadales; Psychromonadaceae. RNAcentral also lists the same sequence under 14 other names. The record is from RNAcentral.
GCGGAUGUAGCUCAGUUGGUAGAGCCCCGGAUUGUGAUUCCGGUUGUCGCGGGUUCAAACCCCGUCAUUCGCCCCA